AACUUAAGCAUAUCAAUAAGCGGAGGAAAAGAAACCAACAGGGAUUGCCCUAGUAACGGCGAGUGAAGCGGCAACAGCUCAAAUUUGAAAUCUGGCUCUUUCAGAGUCCGAGUUGUAAUUUGCAGAGGGCGCUUUGGCUUUGGCAGCGGUCCAAGUUCCUUGGAACAGGACGUCACAGAGGGUGAGAAUCCCGUACGUGGUCGCUAGCUAUUGCCGUGUAAAGCCCCUUCGACGAGUCGAGUUGUUUGGGAAUGCAGCUCUAAAUGGGAGGUAAAUUUCUUCUAAAGCUAAAUAUUGGCCAGAGACCGAUAGCGCACAAGUAGAGUGAUCGAAAGAUGAAAAGCACUUUGGAAAGAGAGUCAAACAGCACGUGAAAUUGUUGAAAGGGAAGCGCUUGCAGCCAGACUUGCUUGCAGUUGCUCAUCCGGGCUUUUGCCCGGUGCACUCUUCUGUAGGCAGGCCAGCAUCAGUUUGGGCGGUGGGAUAAAGGUCUCUGACACGUUCCUUCCUUCGGGUUGGCCAUAUAGGGGAGACGACAUACCACCAGCCUGGACUGAGGUCCGCGCAUCUGCUAGGAUGCUGGCGUAAUGGCUGUAAGCGGCCCGUCUUGAAACACGGACCAAGGAGUCUAACAUCUAUGCGAGUGUUUGGGUGUCAAGCCCGAACGCGUAAUGAAAGUGAACGGAGGUGGGAACCCGCAAGGGCGCACCAUCGACCGAUCCUGAAGUUUACGGAAGGAUUUGAGUAAGAGCAUGGCUGUUGGGACCCGAAAGAUGGUGAACUAUGCUUGAAUAGGGUGAAGCCAGAGGAAACUCUGGUGGAGGCUCGCAGCGGUUCUGACGUGCAAAUCGAUCGUCAAAUUUGGGCAUAGGGGCGAAAGACUAAUCGAACUAUCUAGUAGCUGGUUCCUGCCGAGU
RNAcentral lists this ribosomal RNA (917 nucleotides) under Curvularia lunata. Its description in RNAcentral is "partial large subunit ribosomal RNA". It matches the Rfam family "Eukaryotic large subunit ribosomal RNA", at positions 31 to 966 of the family's 3401-position model. The record is from RNAcentral. Lineage: Eukaryota; Fungi; Ascomycota; Dothideomycetes; Pleosporales; Pleosporaceae.